Scatophagus argus is the source of this 1945-nucleotide long non-coding RNA. RefSeq lists it as uncharacterized. The transcript is spliced from 3 exons. The record is from RefSeq and is a predicted model, not a curated record. Lineage: Eukaryota; Metazoa; Chordata; Actinopteri; Scatophagidae.
CAAGAACAAGAUUAAUCGUUCAGACUGCACAUGCGCAAAUCGUAAGGUUUUUUUUUUUUUUGGCGGUCAAGUUGCUGUUGAUCUUCUUUUCUGACUUGUAAGAGAUUUGAAUGUGUCAGUGUAAAGGUCUAGAGAGAAGAUGGCCAAGACCUUUGCACACGGGAGGCUGGAGGAUGACUUAGACAAGCCACUGAUCACAGAGUUCAAGAUCAUGUGGUCAUGCCUGUUCGCGGUGGCAGGGGCGGUAUCAGAACUUUGUGAGGAUUACUGCUGCUCCCUGUAUUUCUUGACCAACACAAUGCCCAGCUCAGAAUUCAAGAAGAAAUGAGACUGCAGGGAGGAAAAUGACACAGGUUUUUUUUUUCUUUUUGUUAAGAAAGCACGUAAUUACGAGCUGAUGUUAACUUGUCGGUUUUGAUAGAUGUAAGGGCUAGUAAAUAAAAUCACGUGCUGCAUGUGUACAUGUCCAGCAUAACAUUUCCCUGAUCCACACUAAAACUAGGUUUGUCUUUUUAUCCGUUAGUGUUAUGAGAAGUUCAGUGAGGUGUAGUGUGUGUGUUUGUACAGUUCUAAAUUAUUUCAGUUUUUUUUUUCUGUCUUUAGAAUGAAUCAUAGAACAAGGGAGGGACUGUAUCCUCAUAAUAAGUUUAAUCUUCUUAUCUGAAUGAAGACCAGAACAUCGUCGUCAUCAUCAUCAUUAUAGUUUACUUUUCAACUAUAUUGGACCACAUGUUGUUAUGGAAUCGGUUUCUUUAAAUUUUUUAUGAAAUCUGAUAUAUAAACUCUGCAUUCUGUUUGGAAAAACUGUGCAGUCUAAUGCAAUGCAAUACCACAGCACUGCCAUGCAUUCUACUUAGGCAGAGCUUAUAUAUGUUUUGUUUUUACUGACAUUAUAGGAAAUGUGAUGAUUCUACUUGAGUAUUUAUUGCUCAGGUUGUAGCGGGUGGUGGAAGUAUACUGGGGUGCAUUAUAUUAGGAGUUCCUGAUACUGUGUUGAUACAUGUAUGGGAGGGCAUAGUAUUAGAGAUACUUGUUGACACGAAAACUGAAAAUGUCGAGGCUUAGUAAGUUUUGGGCAUUUGGAGUUGUUGUAUUAGAUUGCACUGGACUGCACAUCUUCCUAUUACCAAGUGUGUGGUGAGCUUACCUUAAAUAAUAAUAAUAAAUAAUAGGUUGUGAUGCUACAGCUGUUCAGAGAGAGCUCAAAUAAGUUACUACAGCAUCAAUGGUGAGGGAGGUGAAGCCACUAAGUCUGCAGACUGAUGCUGGAAUAGAGAUCAGAAGUGUUGGAUUUGGAACGCAUGGCCUCUGCUUGUGCACUCUUAAUAGGUGUGAUACAUGCACUGAACCUUGGUUAUCCUCUGGAACUGAAAGCUGCCUGUAAGGCAGUUCAGAAGCUUUUCCUUCAACUGGAUCCUGGUGGACUCUGAGCCAAGGUACAGGCGAUCAAGAACAAACUGUAUGAAUGAGCCAACCAUUGAUUUGGAUGCUGGAUAAUAUUGACACAUAAAGUGAUAGUUGGAUUUUUCUGCCACAUUAAGGCCCAUCCUAACUGUUAGUGCUGAGCCAUGAUGCAUCAUAAUGUGGCCAAUAAUGGGUUGCAAUUUGCUUAGUUGUUUUCAUGAAAUUGAUUGAUUUUUGUUUUUUUCUAUCAGUGGAUUAAUUUAAGUUAAGUUAUUUAAGUUGGGCUUUUGGGAAACCCACUUGUCUUAUUUUGUCUUAUUUUUUUGACUUUGCACUCAAGGUGAUUCAUAAAAAUAGUUUGGAAAUAGUUGUUUAUUUUCUGUCAAUCAACUCAUCAAUUUAUUAAUUGAUCAAGUUGUAUUUGCAUCUCUGAUCAUAUGUGUUAUGUUUCUGUGUGUUACUGUUUGAUUUUCAAAGCAAGUGGAGCAAAAUGUUAUCUGAAUCAGUGCUGUGCUGUUGAAUAAAGGAAAUAACAAAAAUA